CUGUUAAAUAAAGUGUUGAUCUUAAAAUAAAAAAGUUACCAUAAGGAAUUUAUUUUCAGAUGCCAAGUACGUGGUGUCUGGUGGCCGAUGCAGAAUGAGCUGGAACUGAUCUGAGACCAUCUAGUGGAUAAAGCUGGUCUCACAAAAACACUUUCAUGGAAUAACCCACACACAAGACAGGAGACUCCACAAACUGAAAUGUCUACAGAGCCUGAACCAGACUGAGUUCC
This 230-nucleotide long non-coding RNA is filed under the name Pelusios castaneus (West African mud turtle). RNAcentral's name for it is "lncRNA (ENSPCEG00000008658.1)". The record is from RNAcentral. Lineage: Eukaryota; Metazoa; Chordata; Testudines; Pelomedusidae.